CCCGAGGAAAAGAAAUCAACCGAGAUUCCCCCAGUAGCGGCGAGCGAACGGGGAGGAGCCCAGAGCCUGAAUCAGCAUGUGUGUUAGUGGAAGCGUCUGGAAAGGCGCGCGAUACAGGGUGACAGCCCCGUACACAAAAGCGCAUGUGCUGUGAGCUCGAUGAGUAGGGCGGGACACGUGGUAUCCUGUCUGAAUAUGGGGGGACCAUCCUCCAAGGCUAAAUACUCCUGACUGACCGAUAGUGAACCAGUACCGUGAGGGAAAGGCGAAAAGAACCCCGGCGAGGGGAGUGAAAAAGAACCUGAAACCGUGUACGUACAAGCAGUGGGAGCACAGGUUUACCUGUGUGACUGCGUACCUUUUGUAUAAUGGGUCAGCGACUUAUAUUCUGUAGCAAGGUUAACCGUAUAGGGGAGCCGGAGGGAAACCGAGUCUUAACCGGGCGUUAAGUUGCAGGGUAUAGACCCGAAACCCGGUGAUCUAGCCAUGGGCAGGUUGAAGGUUGGGUAACACUAACUGGAGGACCGAACCGACUAAUGUUGAAAAAUUAGCGGAUGACCUGUGGCUGGGGGUGAAAGGCCAAUCAAACCGGGAGAUAGCUGGUUCUCCCCGAAAGCUAUUUAGGUAGCGCCUCGUGAAUUCAUCUCCGGGGGUAGAGCACUGUUUCGGCUAGGGGGCCAUCCCGGCUUACCAACCCGAUGCAAACUGCGAAUACCGGAGAAUGUUAUCACGGGAGACACACGGCGGGUGCUAACGUCCGUCG
Molecule: ribosomal RNA, 763 nt
Filed under: Salmonella enterica
Lineage: Bacteria; Pseudomonadati; Pseudomonadota; Gammaproteobacteria; Enterobacterales; Enterobacteriaceae
Description: partial 23S ribosomal RNA
Rfam family: Bacterial large subunit ribosomal RNA
Source: RNAcentral